RNAcentral lists this ribosomal RNA (351 nucleotides) under uncultured bacterium. Its description in RNAcentral is "bacterial SSU rRNA". It matches the Rfam family "Bacterial small subunit ribosomal RNA", at positions 30 to 379 of the family's 1533-position model. The record is from RNAcentral.
AUUGAACGCUGGCGGCAUGCCUUACACAUGCAAGUCGAACGGCAGCACGGGAGCUUGCUCCUGGUGGCGAGUGGCGAACGGGUGAGUAAUGCAUCGGAACGUGCCCUGAAGUGGGGGAUAACGUAGCGAAAGUUACGCUAAUACCGCAUAUUCUGUGAGCAGGAAAGCAGGGGAUCUACGGACCUUGCGCUUUUGGAGCGGCCGAUGUCGGAUUAGCUAGUUGGUGGGGUAAAGGCCCACCAAGGCGACGAUCCGUAGCGGGUCUGAGAGGAUGAUCCGCCACACUGGAACUGAGACACGGUCCAGACUCCUACGGGAGGCAGCAGUGGGGAAUUUUGGACAAUGGGCGAC